RNAcentral lists this ribosomal RNA (474 nucleotides) under uncultured bacterium. RNAcentral's name for it is "bacterial SSU rRNA". It matches the Rfam family "Bacterial small subunit ribosomal RNA", at positions 56 to 523 of the family's 1533-position model. The record is from RNAcentral.
UGCAUGUCGCACGGUCACAGGAAGCAGCUUGCUUCUUCGCUGACGAGUGGCGGACGGGUGAGUAAUGUCUGGGAAACUGCCUGAUGGAGGGGGAUAACUACUGGAAACGGUAGCUAAUACCGCAUAACGUCGCAAGACCAAAGAGGGGGACCUUCGGGCCUCUUGCCAUCGGAUGUGCCCAGAUGGGAUUAGCUUGUAGGUGGGGUAACGGCUCACCUAGGCGACGAUCCCUAGCUGGUCUGAGAGGAUGACCAGCCACACUGGAACUGAGACACGGUCCAGACUCCUACGGGAGGCAGCAGUGGGGAAUAUUGCACAAUGGGCGCAAGCCUGAUGCACCCAUGCCGCGUGUAUGAAGAAGGCCUUCGGGUUGUAAAGUACUUUCAGCGGGGAGGAAGGGAGUAAAGUUAAUACCUUUGCUCAUUGACGUUACCCGCAAAAGAAGCACCGGCUAACUCCGUGCCAGCUUAAUAA